CAGCAGCCGCGGGAAUACGAAGGGGGCUAGCGUUGCUCGGAAUCACUGGGCGUAAAGGGUGCGUAGGCGGGUUUCUAAGUCAGGGGUGAAAUCCUGGAGCUCAACUCCAGAACUGCCCUUGAUACUGGAAGUCUUGAGUAUGGGAGAGGUGAGUGGAACUGCGAGUGUAGAGGUGAAAUUCGUAGAUAUUCGCAAGAACACCAGUGGCGAAGGCGGCUCACUGGCUCAUAACUGACGCUGAGGCACGAAAGCGUGGGGAGCAAACAGGAUUAGAUACCCGCGUAGUCCCUGUCUCUUAUAC
RNAcentral lists this ribosomal RNA (301 nucleotides) under uncultured bacterium. RNAcentral's name for it is "partial 16S ribosomal RNA". It matches the Rfam family "Bacterial small subunit ribosomal RNA", at positions 509 to 807 of the family's 1533-position model. The record is from RNAcentral.